This 531-nucleotide ribosomal RNA is filed under the name Triticum aestivum (bread wheat). RNAcentral's name for it is "partial small subunit ribosomal RNA". Lineage: Eukaryota; Viridiplantae; Streptophyta; Magnoliopsida; Poales; Poaceae. The record is from RNAcentral.
AUGAAUACAGUAGCCCAACUACGUGAAUUCAUUGAGCUGGCUUCGACCGUUACCUCGACCUCCCUCGACCCUAACACUCCGGACGCCAUCUCCUGGAACUAGAACCCCAACGGCAAAUAUUUGGCUAGCUCGGCCUAUCGGGCACAAUUCCUCAGAUCUUAUUCAAGAAUUUUCGGCGACAAAAUAUGGAAGGCGCAUGCGGAGACAAAGUGCAAACUUUUCUCCUGGCUGGUCCUCCACAACCGGGUCCUUACGGCUAACGGACUCGCCUUGCAUGGCUGGCCACAUGACCCCGUCUGCCAACUAUGCCUCCGCACGAACGAGAAUGCAAAACACCUUUGCAGGACCCGCCUGUUCACUUCCGCAGUCCGCACCCUUAUCCUGACUUGGGUGGGGGAGCCGCUUACGUUUUCUCUGGCUGCCGCUUCCCCCUCAAUCGACGCCCGGUGGGAUGCUGGCCCCAAAAACUCCGACAACAGUUUGAGAAGGCGACGCAAUGGCUGCCUCGUCUAUAUAAUGUGGCAUGCCUGA